Molecule: ribosomal RNA, 253 nt
Filed under: uncultured bacterium
Lineage: Bacteria
Description: partial 16S ribosomal RNA
Rfam family: Bacterial small subunit ribosomal RNA
Source: RNAcentral
GACGAACCGAGCGAACGUUGUUCGGAAUCACUGGGCUUAAAGGGCGCGUAGGCGGGCGAUCAAGUCAGGGGUGAAAGCCCCCAGCUCAACUGGGGAAGUGCCUCUGAUACUGAUCGUCUCGAGGGGGAUAGGGGCGUGCGGAACUUCCGGUGGAGCGGUGAAAUGCGUAGAUAUCGGAAGGAACACCGGUGGCGAAAGCGGCGCGCUGGAUCCCUUCUGACGCUGAGGCGCGAAAGCCAGGGGAGCGAACGGG